UACGGGGGGGGCAAGCGUUGUUCGGAAUUACUGGGCGUAAAGGGCUCGUAGGUGGCCAACUAAGUCGGACGUGAAAUCCCUCGGCUUAACCGGGGAACUGCGUCCGAUACUGGUUGGCUUGAAUCCGGGAGAGGGAUGUGGAAUUCCAGGUGUAGCGGUGAAGUGCGUAGAUAUCUGGAGGAACAUCGGUGGCGAAGGCGGCAUCCUGGACCGGUAUUGACGCUGAGGCGCGAAAGCCAGGGGAGCAAACGGG
Molecule: ribosomal RNA, 253 nt
Filed under: uncultured bacterium
Lineage: Bacteria
Description: partial 16S ribosomal RNA
Rfam family: Bacterial small subunit ribosomal RNA
Source: RNAcentral